CCAGCAGCCGCGGUAAUACGGAGGAUGCAAGCGUUAUCCGGAGUGAUUGGGCGUAAAGCGUCCGCAGGUGGCAAGUCAAGUUUGCGGUUAAAGGUUCUGGCUCAACCAGAGACAGGCCGUGAAAACUGACUAGCUAGAGUAUGGUAGGGGUAGAGGGAAUUCCCAGUGUAGCGGUGAAAUGCGUAGAGAUUGGGAAGAACACCGGUGGCGAAAGCGCUCUGCUAGGCCAAAACUGACACUGAGGGACGAAAGCUAGGGGAGCGAAUGGGAUUAGAUACCCCAGUAGUCCUAGCCGUAAACGAUGGAUACUAGGUGUAGCUUGUAUCGACCCAAGCUGUGCCGUAGCUAACGCGUUAAGUAUCCCGCCUGGGGAGUACGCGCGCAAGCGUGAAACUCAAAGGAAUUGGCGGGGGCCCGCACAAGCGGUGGAGUAUGUGGUUUAAUUCGAUGCAACGCGAAGAACCUUACCAGGACUUGACAUGUCGCGAAUCUUACUGAAAGGUAGGAGUGCCUUAGGGAGCGCGAACACAGGUGGUGCAUGGCUGUCGUCAGCUCGUGUCGUGAGAUGCUGGGUUAAGUCCCGCAACGAGCGCAACCCUCGUUUUUAGUUGCCAUCAUUAAGUUGGGCACUCUAGAGAGACUGCCGGUGACAAACCGGAGGAAGGUGGGGAUGACGUCAAGUCAGCAUGCCCCUUACGUUCUGGGCUACACACGUACUACAAUGCUACGGACAAAGGGUAGCAAGACAGCGAUGUCAAGCCAAUCCCAUAAACCGUGGCUCAGUUCAGAUUGCAGGCUGCAACUCGCCUGCAUGAAGGCGGAAUCGCUAGUAAUCGCAGGUCAGCACUACUGCGGUGAAUACGUUCCCGGGCCUUGUACACACCGCCCGUCACACCAUGGAAGCUGGCUUAGCCCGAAGUCGUUACCCUAACCGUAAGGAGGGGGAUGCCGAAGGCAGGGCUGGUGACUGGGGUGAAGUCGUAACAAGGUAACCAA
This 996-nucleotide ribosomal RNA is filed under the name uncultured cyanobacterium. Its description in RNAcentral is "bacterial SSU rRNA". It matches the Rfam family "Bacterial small subunit ribosomal RNA", at positions 508 to 1503 of the family's 1533-position model. Lineage: Bacteria; Bacillati; Cyanobacteriota. The record is from RNAcentral.